Molecule: ribosomal RNA, 275 nt
Filed under: uncultured anaerobic ammonium-oxidizing bacterium
Lineage: Bacteria
Description: partial 16S ribosomal RNA
Rfam family: Bacterial small subunit ribosomal RNA
Source: RNAcentral
AUGGGCACUCAGUAGAGGGGUUUUGAUUAUCUCUCUGCCGGAGCUAACGCAUUAAGUGCCCCGCCUGGGGAGUACGGCCGCAAGGCUAAAACUCAAAAGAAUUGACGGGGGCUCGCACAAGCGGUGGAGCAUGUGGCUUAAUUCGAUGCAACGCGAAGAACCUUACCGGGGUUUGACAUGGUAGAAGUAGGAGCCCGAAAGGGUAACGAACGGUAUCCAGUCCGUGACUAUCACAGGUGUUGCAUGGCUGUCGUCAGCUCGUGUCGUGAGACGUU